RNAcentral lists this long non-coding RNA (359 nucleotides) under Mytilus galloprovincialis (Mediterranean mussel). Lineage: Eukaryota; Metazoa; Mollusca; Bivalvia; Mytilida; Mytilidae. The record is from RNAcentral.
AGCUGACUAUGCAGUAUGGGCUUUGCUCAUUUUUGAAGGUUGUACAUAGACCUAUAGCUGUUUAUUUCUGUCAUUAAUUGGUCUCUUAGGGGAGUUAUCUCUUGGCAAUCAUACCACAUCUUCUUGUUGGGAGUUAUCUCUUGGCAAUCAUACCACAUCUUCUUGUGGGGAGUUAUCUCUUGGCAAUCAUACCACAUCUUCUUGUGGGGAGUUAUCUCUAGGCAAUCAUACCACAUCUUCUUUUUUACAAUAUUAUAUACCACUCAAAUCUGAAACUUGAAAUAAAACAGACACUUACCAAUUUUAGUAACUAUUAUACUCUUGAUAAAUUUCAGUCAAUUUUAACAAUAUAAAUAAAC